RNAcentral lists this ribosomal RNA (465 nucleotides) under uncultured bacterium. RNAcentral's name for it is "partial 16S ribosomal RNA". It matches the Rfam family "Bacterial small subunit ribosomal RNA", at positions 338 to 795 of the family's 1533-position model. The record is from RNAcentral.
CCUACGGGUGGCAGCAGUGGGGAAUAUUGCGCAAUGCGCGGAAGAGUGACGCAGCGACGCCGCGUGAAUGACGAAGGCCUUCGGGUCGUAAAGUUCUUUCGACAGGGAAGAAAAUGCCAAUAAGUAACUGUGUAUGUAUUGCCGGUACCUGUAUAAGCAGCACCGGCUAACUCCGUGCCAGCAGCCGCGGUAAUACGGAGGGGGCGAGCGUUGUUCGGAGUGACUGGGCGUAAAGAGCACGAAGGCGGUGUUGUAAGUCAAGGGUGAAAUCCCCGCGCUCAACGUGGGAACUGCCUUUGAAACUGGCAAACUGGAGUGUGUGAGAGGAUAGUGGAAUUCCAGGUGUAGGGGUGAAAUCCGUAGAUAUCUGGAGGAACAUCAGUGGCGAAGGCGACUAUCUGGCACAUAACUGACGCUGAGGAGCGAAAGCGUGGGUAGCAAACAGGAUUAGAUACCCGAGUAGUC